ACCCUUUAUCAUUUUCUCGCUUCUAGUUUGAUGAAGAGUUAGCCCACCCUUUGAUUUCCUAGAAAUUGCAGGAAAAAUGGAAGAAAAUUGAAAAUUUUGAGUUGGGAAACAUGAGGGUUUUUUUUUCCCUCUGUUUUCUUGGGAACCAAACGGAGGGGUAUAAUAUCAAUAUAUUGAAGAAUGUCUUAGCUGCUGAGUACUCUGCUGAUAUUUAAGGCUUUUCAUGACAAAAUUUGGGAAUUUUUGCAAAUUUUGUUUGCGUGUGAUAUAUGAUAAAAAUAAAUUGCAGAUUUUUUUGGCUUUUCAUCAGAACCCACUUGGAAGAUUGGUAGUGGUUAUGAUGAGAAUGCAAAUUUUUGGAAUUUAACUGGCAACCCACUGGAUGUUGUAGUUGAUUACUGUAUUUUCUUGUAUCUGAAAAUGCAUGUUGAGGUUGCUUUCUUCAUUUAAAUUGGAAAUUUCCUAAAAAAAAAAAAAAACGCUUCAUGAAUCUGUGGUCAAGGACAUAUUUGAUCGAUUGUGUGGAGUUUUGGUUCAAUGGGCCAUGUCAGACAUUAAAAAUAUACCUUUUGGCUCUCUUCCCAGACUAUGGUUCAAACUGAUCCUUCCACUACUUUUAUUUUAUUUCAUUUUUUUUUUCAAAAAAAGUUGUUUGAAACUGCACCUUGAAAAUGUGAUUUUAGUACAAAUUUAGAUACUGUAUUUUGAAACUAUGGCUUUGGUAUGCUUUUAGAAACCUUAUUUUGAAACUACAGCAUCUAAUUUAUAUAGAAGUUGUAUUUUCAAGAUGCAGUUUCAAACAAAUUUAAGGAAAAAACAAAUAAGCUUAUAUUUUGAUCAAUACUUUCAAAACAUACUUAAAACUCAUAUUUUGUUUGUAACAUGAGUCCAUUUGACCCCAGAUCCAGAUAAGCUUUUCUUACUAACAACUUGUACUAAAACCUAGACCAACUUUGAUGAAUUUUUUUUAUCAAAUUGGCCCUCAAACCAAACAAAAUAUAAGUUUUGGGCACGUUUUGAAACUAUUAUUCAAAUUAGUUUUCUUUUUAAAUAUAUUUGAAACAACAUUUUGAAAAUACUACUUCUAUAUAAAUUAGAGACUGCAGUUUCAAAACAUGGUUUCCAAAUCUUUAUUAAAGUUGUAGUUUCAAGAUGCGGUUUUUAAAUUUGUACUAAAGCCAUAGUUUCAAGAUGGGAGUUUCAAACAAUUUUUUUCAAAUAAAAUAAAAUGAGGCCAAGGGGGUUUUGAACAGUAGUAUGAGAGGAAGGCUGAGAUGUAUAUUUUAAUGGUCGAAAUGGCCAAUUUGAACCAAAACUCAACUUUGAUGGGAAGUGUUUAUUUUGUGCUUGCUGCCACUUUCAACUGUAGACCAAUGUUACAGAAAUUAAUCUUUAUGAUUUAUAUUGUCAA
Vitis riparia (riverbank grape) is the source of this 1411-nucleotide long non-coding RNA. RefSeq lists it as uncharacterized. The record is from RefSeq and is a predicted model, not a curated record. The transcript has 2 exons. Lineage: Eukaryota; Viridiplantae; Streptophyta; Magnoliopsida; Vitales; Vitaceae.